GCCCCCCCCCGGGCCGGCUACGAGGGGAGUUCUUCCGAGGGGCCAGAAGGGUAAACGGUGGAUCCCUGAGGGGAAACAUUGGAAAAGAGGUAACCGCAAAAACUUAACCCAUUUUUAGUGGAAGGCCAAUGCCCCAUAAAAGUGCCCCGGUUUUUUAGUUGGUGGGGAGAAAGGCUCCACAGGGGGAUAAACAUCGCCCCCUGGAGGGUGUUCGCCACAUGGGGAUGAACACCGCCCAAAUUCUUGGGGGAGCACAGUAGGAAUUUCGGCAAUGGAGAAAGUUUGACCGAGCAACGCCGCUUGAUGAAGAAGUUUUCGGAUCGUAAAAUUCUGUUGGUAGAGAGAACGUUGGUGAGAGUGAAAGCUCAUCAAGUGACGGUAACUACCCAGAAAGGGACGGCUAACUACGUGCCAGCAGCCGCGGUAAUACGUAGGUCCCGAGCGUUGUCCGGAUUUAUUGGGCGUAAAGCGAGCGCAGGUGGUUUAUUAAGUCUGGUGUAAAAGGCAGUGGCUCAACCAUUGUAUGCAUUGGAAACUGGUAGACUUGAGUGCAGGAGAGGAGAGUGGAAUUCCAUGUGUAGCGGUGAAAUGCGUAGAUAUAUGGAGGAACACCGGUGGCGAAAGCGGCUCUCUGGCCUGUAACUGACACUGAGGCUCGAAAGCGUGGGGAGCAAACAGGAUUAGAUACCCUGGUAGUCCACGCCGUAAACGAUGAGUGCUAGAUGUAGGGAGCUAUAAGUUCUCUGUAUCGCAGCUAACGCAAUAAGCACUCCGCCUGGGGAGUACGACCGCAAGGUUGAAACUCAAAGGAAUUGACGGGGGCCCGCACAAGCGGUGGAGCAUGUGGUUUAAUUCGAAGCAACGCGAAGAACCUUACCAGGUCUUGACAUACUCGUGCUAUUCCUAGAGAUAGGAAGUUCCUUCGGGACACGGGAUACAGGUGGUGCAUGGUUGUCGUCAGCUCGUGUCGUGAGAUGUUGGGUUAAGUCCCGCAACGAGCGCAACCCCUAUUGUUAGUUGCCAUCAUUAAGUUGGGCACUCUAACGAGACUGCCGGUGAUAAACCGGAGGAAGGUGGGGAUGACGUCAAAUCAUCAUGCCCCUUAUGACCUGGGCUACACACGUGCUACAAUGGAUGGUACAACGAGUCGCGAGACAGUGAUGUUUAGCUAAUCUCUUAAAACCAUUCUCAGUUCGGAUUGUAGGCUGCAACUCGCCUACAUGAAGUCGGAAUCGCUAGUAAUCGCGGAUCAGCACGCCGCGGUGAAUACGUUCCCGGGCCUUGUACACACCGCCCGUCACACCACGGGAGUUGGGAGUACCCGAAGUAGGUUGCCUAACCGCAAGGAGGGCGCUUCCUAAGGUAAGACCGAUGGACUGGGGUGAAGUCGUAAUCAAAAG
This 1400-nucleotide ribosomal RNA is filed under the name Lactococcus lactis. RNAcentral's name for it is "bacterial SSU rRNA". It matches the Rfam family "Bacterial small subunit ribosomal RNA". The record is from RNAcentral. Lineage: Bacteria; Bacillati; Bacillota; Bacilli; Lactobacillales; Streptococcaceae.